AACCUUAACUUUGUGUAUUCGUUUAUCCCUCUUGUAUAGACAACUGAAUACGGGACAGAACGAUCCAACAUUCUGACAUAUUUCAAUUUCCCGAUAUCUGAGCCUGAAAAACGAAACGCAGACACAAGUUCAUCAAGAACUGGGCUUUCCCAGCGAGCCAGAUAUUAUAUGGGUGGUAAAGAUCCGGGGUUUGUUCCACCACAGUUUCCACAGAUACAUCUGAUUAACAUGGAACUCAUGCACCCAACAUCAAAUGAUCUUCUCUACUAGUGGCGGCAAAAGUUUUACAUCUGGACAUAAAAUCCUUAUUGCUGGACAUAUCCACGACUGUGAUACAUAUUUAUGGACUGAAUGGGACAGUAUAAAGCUGGAGUUUCAUAGAAACUUCGGAGUUAUCAUUUUGUCAGAGACAACCUGUCUUUUUAUUUUAACUGUUUUCUUUAGUUUGUUACACGGUAAACCUUUUCAACCUGUCUUUUCCAUUUUAACUGUUUGUCUUUAGUUUGUUAAAGUAGGUGUAGAUAUACUUACGUUUCUUCUGGAAAUCUGUCAACUAAUUUAAAUUAAUUGAAACUAAAAUUUCAUUUCUUUAUGUACCCACUGAUAAAUACGUUAAAACGAAUAGCAUUUAAUUUGCUAUGAAUAUUUUGAUAAUAUGUAUUUCAUGAAAAAACAAUUCAUAAGUGACAAGAAUUUGAAGUUAUUGUUCGGGUAUAAAAUAAUACAAAAAUAUUUAUUUUCUUAUACUCUAAUCUGUAGGAAAUUUCACUUCGGCAAUCGUUUCCUUAUCUAGCAUAUAAUCUGUUACAAACCUAGUUCAUUUAUGUCUCUUUAUAAAACGUUCUAUAUUUAAACACUGUUUAGGAAAAUUCAAUAAACUUGUAUAAUCACAGUC
This is a long non-coding RNA of Limulus polyphemus (Atlantic horseshoe crab), 895 nucleotides long. RefSeq lists it as uncharacterized. The record is from RefSeq and is a predicted model, not a curated record. NCBI's taxonomy places the organism in Eukaryota, Metazoa, Arthropoda, Merostomata, Xiphosura, Limulidae. The transcript has 2 exons.